AUGCAUUAGUUGAGUGCCUACUCUGUAAGCAUUGCUGUAGCACUGAGGAACAGAAGGGUCAGUGCCCUCAUGGAUCUGAGGCUCUGCUCUGGGAGGCAGUGAACAAGAUGAUGGAGUCAAGUGCAUGGUGAGUCAUGCAGAUGAAGGCCUUAAGGGGCUGAGGAAAGCUGGGAGGGAUGUGAGACUGUUGAGCAUGGAACAGCAUGGAGCAGUUUAUAAGUGGGGAGGGGAGACCUCAGAGGUGGAGACAGUCUAGCAACUUGAAGGAGUGAGGGAUUAAGCUCUGAGGCUCUCUGGGAGAAGAGACUGGCAGGGAGCAGGUGCCCAGGGCCUGGAGCAGAAGCCAUCAGGCAUGUUUGAGACACACUGUGGUAAGAGCAGAGUGCCCAACCAGAGAAGGGUAGAAGGUAGGUCAGUGAAGAAAUGAGGCCCUGGGGGUCAUUGUUAAGGCCACUGGCUUUUACACUUAGUGAGAUUUGGCUUCUAGGGCUUGGCAUUGUUAUCUCACUAUUAUUAUUAUCUCUGUGUGGCAUGACAAGCCACAGAGAAAUGAAGUCAUUUGUAAUAAUUAUGAAUACUGUUUUUACUUUUUUUUAUCCAUUAAGCAAUACAUUAAGCACUUUACAUAAAUAAUUUUGUGUAAUCCUAAGGUCACUCAUUGAAUUGGUACUCUCAUUAUUCCCGUUUUACAAAUGAGGAAAUUAAGACUCAAGGAGAUUUAGCAAAUUUCUCAAGGUCAACAGCUAGAAAGUCAUUGAAUAGAGAUUUAGGUAGCCUGACCCCUGAGGCCACACUCUGGAUCACCUCUCAUGCUUCCUUGAAUGAAUGACUAGGUGUCCAUGGAAUCCUUUCCAGCCACAGUGGUCUGCUCCACUCCAAGAGUGGACACGGGGGGUGCAUGUCCUCACUUCACUCAGAAUCUUUUAGAUCAUUCAUCCAUCCCUCCAUCCACCAUCCCUUGUUAGCU
Molecule: long non-coding RNA, 967 nt
Filed under: Marmota monax (woodchuck)
Lineage: Eukaryota; Metazoa; Chordata; Mammalia; Rodentia; Sciuridae
Source: RNAcentral